CAACCUGCCGCUUACUCGGGGAUAGCCUUUCGAAAGAAAGAUUAAUACCCGAUGGUAUAAAGAGUUCGCAUGUUCUCUUUAUUAAAGAAUUUCGGUAAGCGAUGGGGAUGCGUUCCAUUAGAUAGUUGGCGGGGUAACGGCCCACCAAGUCUACGAUGGAUAGGGGUUCUGAGAGGAAGGUCCCCCACAUUGGAACUGAGACACGGUCCAAACUCCUACGGGAGGCAGCAGUGAGGAAUAUUGGUCAAUGGACGAGAGUCUGAACCAGCCAAGUAGCGUGAAGGAUGACUGCCCUAUGGGUUGUAAACUUCUUUUAUAAGGGAAUAAAGUGAGGGACGUGUCCCUUUUUGUAUGUACCUUAUGAAUAAGGAUCGGCUAACUCCGUGCCAGCAGCCGCGGUAAUACGGAGGAUCCAAGCGUUAUCCGGAUCUAUUGGGUUUAAAGGGAGCGUAGGUUGACAUAUAAGUCAGCUGUGAAAGUUUACGGCUCAACCGUGAAAUUGCAGUUGAUACUGUAUGUCUUGAGUGUACAAGAGGUGGGCGGAAUUCGUGGUGUAGCGGUGAAAUGCUUAGAUAUCACGAAGAACUCCGAUUG
This 594-nucleotide ribosomal RNA is filed under the name uncultured Bacteroidota bacterium. Its description in RNAcentral is "bacterial SSU rRNA". It matches the Rfam family "Bacterial small subunit ribosomal RNA", at positions 122 to 715 of the family's 1533-position model. The record is from RNAcentral. Lineage: Bacteria; Pseudomonadati; Bacteroidota.